This 56-nucleotide transfer RNA is filed under the name Loxodonta africana (African savanna elephant). It matches the Rfam family "tRNA", at positions 9 to 63 of the family's 71-position model. From Rfam's summary of the family: Transfer RNA (tRNA) molecules are approximately 80 nucleotides in length. Their secondary structure includes four short double-helical elements and three loops (D, anti-codon, and T loops). Lineage: Eukaryota; Metazoa; Chordata; Mammalia; Proboscidea; Elephantidae. The record is from Rfam by way of RNAcentral.
AGCACAAUGGUUAAGCAUUUGGCUGCUAACCAAAAGGCUGGUAGUUCAAAUCCACC